UACGUAGGGGGCGAGCGUUGUCCGGAUUUAUUGGGCGUAAAGAGCUCGUAGGUGGUUUGGUAAGUCGGAUGUGAAAUCUCCAGGCUCAACCUGGAGGGGUCAUUCGAUACUGCCAUGACUAGAGUUCGGUAGGGGAGUGUGGAAUUCCUGGUGGAGCGGUGAAAUGCGCAGAUAUCAGGAGGAACACCCGCAGCGAAGGCGGCACUCUGGGCCGAUACUGACACUGAGGAGCGAAAGCGUGGGGAGCGAACAGG
This 254-nucleotide ribosomal RNA is filed under the name uncultured bacterium. Its description in RNAcentral is "partial 16S ribosomal RNA". It matches the Rfam family "Bacterial small subunit ribosomal RNA", at positions 524 to 776 of the family's 1533-position model. The record is from RNAcentral.